CACCCGUCAUCGGAGAAACCCUUCACCCACAAUAAUCUCGUAAUAAUUUUACCGACCGUCUGUGUAUCGAGAAAAGCUGCUCUAGUGUAAUUCGAGCUGCUUUUUCUUCAUUUCUUUUUACCAUCCCGUCGGGACAGAAAAAUAUAAACUGUAUUAGUGUAAGGGUGUUUGUAUAUGUAGAAAAAAAUAAACGGUCGUGGCACUAUGGUAUCCCGAAGUGUAUGGUGAGUUGAAAAAAGUCUUUGGUAACGUGGGGAAUUCACUGUUUGUAAGAUGAGAUUCGAUCCGAGCAUAGGAUACUCCGAUUCCGUAAUAGCUACGAAUUUUGGCCAAAUUCGUUAAAAACAGAGCCGGCAACGCGUUUCGACAUCGGAACGAAGAAAGAAAAUCAAGAUAUCAAGGAAGUGAAACGAGUUAAAGGAAGACAAAUCCCUUUUGUACAUAUGUAGAACCCUGAGAACGUCCUGAGAACGUCCUGAGAACGAUUCGUUUGAAUCGUCAUUUCGUGGAUGAUUUAUCAUUCGAUCAGCACCUGCCUCUCGAUUAAGAAACGAUAUCAUACAUAUAGCGAUACCGCAGUGGAUUACCAUAAUAUCGUAAACUCGCAACCGUUCGGUCUUUUGAUCGGAAAUAUCUAAUCAUCAUCAUCAUCUUCGUAAGAUUCACUUGAUAACGGUACCGAUAACAUUCCAAUACGUCUAUCUAUCCUGUCACCAUAUGACUCUCAAUAAGAUGCUCGAGACUUUCACGGCCAGGAUUUACUACCACUCCAUGCUUCCGGGUGUUUCGCUCUGUCGUUUACGAAUAGCGCCCUGACGUUUCGUUAACUUUGCAGAUUCUUCGGAAGAAAAGGAAUAGGACACCUGAAGGUAUCCACCAACGACGCUAGAUCAACGGGAAGGUCAAUGAUUUUCCGAGCAGACCGAUGAACUUGCGCCUCGCUCGCACCAUCGUGCACCAACAGAACAACCAUCGUGAGAGAGGAAGAAAGAGAAAGAAUGAGAAAAAGAAAGAGAAGAGGCAAGGUCGUUGCCUAGAUAACAGUUGCAAGGUACAGUUGGCUCGCAUGCUUGAAACUAUGCGACCAGAAGACACGAUCACAGAAGAAGGGAAAGGGUCCUGAGAGAGUUCCUGCACGAUAUACAUAUGUAGAUAUGUAUAAUAAGUUAAGCCCGAUCCGGUCAUGGUCCGGUAUUGGUUCAAUUCAACCGGCCACGUGCGGAUCACUUUUACAAAAAAAAAAAAAAAAAAAAAA
Molecule: non-coding RNA, 1255 nt
Organism: Osmia lignaria (orchard mason bee)
Lineage: Eukaryota; Metazoa; Arthropoda; Insecta; Hymenoptera; Megachilidae
Source: RefSeq, a predicted model, not a curated record